GCUUGGUUAGUGGAGCGGUUAUCACUUCGGAUCCUAAUUCCGACAACCCUGGUUUGCUUCCAGGAUCGAGUU
Molecule: transfer RNA, 72 nt
Filed under: Neurospora tetrasperma FGSC 2508
Lineage: Eukaryota; Fungi; Ascomycota; Sordariomycetes; Sordariales; Sordariaceae
Also listed under: 1 other name
Description: tRNA-Sup (CTA) (tRNA-Sup-CTA-1-1)
Rfam family: tRNA
About the family: Transfer RNA (tRNA) molecules are approximately 80 nucleotides in length. Their secondary structure includes four short double-helical elements and three loops (D, anti-codon, and T loops). Further hydrogen bonds mediate the characteristic L-shaped molecular structure. tRNAs have two regions of fundamental functional importance: the anti-codon, which is responsible for specific mRNA codon recognition, and the 3' end, to which the tRNAs corresponding amino acid is attached (by aminoacyl-tRNA synthetases). tRNAs cope with the degeneracy of the genetic code in two manners: having more than one tRNA (with a specific anti-codon) for a particular amino acid; and 'wobble' base-pairing, i.e. permitting non-standard base-pairing at the 3rd anti-codon position.
Source: RNAcentral